Molecule: ribosomal RNA, 1372 nt
Filed under: uncultured bacterium
Lineage: Bacteria
Description: bacterial SSU rRNA
Rfam family: Bacterial small subunit ribosomal RNA
Source: RNAcentral
GAUGAACGCUGGCGGCGUGCCUAAUACAUGCAAGUCGAGCGAACGGACGAGAAGCUUGCUUCUCUGAUGUUAGCGGCGGACGGGUGAGUAACACGCGGAUAACCUACCUAUAAGACUGGGAUAACUUCGGGAAACCGGAGCUAAUACCGGAUAAUAUUUUGAACCGCAUGGUUCAAAAGUGAAAGACGGUCUUGCUGUCACUUAUAGAUGGAUCCGCGCUGCAUUAGCUAGUUGGUAAGGUAACGGCUUACCAAGGCAACGAUGCAUAGCCGACCUGAGAGGGUGAUCGGCCACACUGGAACUGAGACACGGUCCAGACUCCUACGGGAGGCAGCAGUAGGGAAUCUUCCGCAAUGGGCGAAAGCCUGACGGAGCAACGCCGCGUGAGUGAUGAAGGUCUUCGGAUCGUAAAACUCUGUUAUUAGGGAAGAACAUAUGUGUAAGUAACUGUGCACAUCUUGACGGUACCUAAUCAGAAAGCCACGGCUAACUACGUGCCAGCAGCCGCGGUAAUACGUAGGUGGCAAGCGUUAUCCGGAAUUAUUGGGCGUAGAGCGCGCGUAGGCGGUUUUUUAAGUCUGAUGUGAAAGCCCACGGCUCAACCGUGGAGGGUCAUUGGAAACUGGAAAACUUGAGUGCAGAAGAGGAAAGUGGAAUUCCAUGUGUAGCGGUGAAAUGCGCAGAGAUAUGGAGGAACACCAGUGGCGAAGGCGACUUUCUGGUCUGUAACUGACGCGGAUGUGCGAAAGCGUGGGGAUCAAACAGGAUUAGAUACCCUGGUAGUCCACGCCGUAAACGAUGAGUGCUAAGUGUUAGGGGGUUUCCGCCCCUUAGUGCUGCAGCUAACGCAUUAAGCACUCCGCCUGGGGAGUACGACCGCAAGGUUGAAACUCAAAGGAAUUGACGGGGACCCGCACAAGCGGUGGAGCAUGUGGUUUAAUUCGAAGCAACGCGAAGAACCUUACCAAAUCUUGACAUCCUUUGACAACUCUAGAGAUAGAGCCUUCCCCUUCGGGGGGCAAAGUGACAGGUGGUGCAUGGUUGUCGUCAGCUCGUGUCGUGAGAUGUUGGGUUAAGUCCCGCAACGAGCGCAACCCUUAAGCUUAGUUGCCAUCAUUAAGUUGGGCACUCUAAGUUGACUGCCGGUGACAAACCGGAGGAAGGUGGGGAUGACGUCAAAUCAUCAUGCCCCUUAUGAUUUGGGCUACACACGUGCUACAAUGGACAAUACAAAGGGCAGCGAAACCGCGAGGUCAAGCAAAUCCCAUAAAGUUGUUCUCAGUUCGGAUUGUAGUCUGCAACUCGACUACAUGAAGCUGGAAUCGCUAGUAAUCGUAGAUCAGCAUGCUACGGUGAAUACGUUCCCGGGUCU